UGCGGGGGUGCCCGAAAGGGAAUUGGAACACAGGUGCUGCAUGGCUGUCGUCAGCUCGUGUCGUGAGAUGUUGGGUUAAGUCCCGCAACGAGCGCAACCCUUAUCAUUAGUUGCUACGUAAGGGCACUCUAAUGAGACUGCCGGUGACAAACCGGAGGAAGGUGGGGAUGACGUCAAGUCCUCAUGGCCCUUAUGGGUAGGGCUUCACACGUCAUACAAUGGUCGGUACAGAGGGUUGCCAAGCCGCGAGGUGGAGCCAAUCCCAGAAAGCCGAUCGUAGUCCGGAUUGUUCUCUGCAACUCGAGAGCAUGAAGUCGGAAUCGCUAGUAAUCGCGGAUCAGCAUGUCGCGGUGAAUACGUUCCCGGGUCUU
This 371-nucleotide ribosomal RNA is filed under the name uncultured Thiobacillus sp. RNAcentral's name for it is "bacterial SSU rRNA". It matches the Rfam family "Bacterial small subunit ribosomal RNA", at positions 1007 to 1382 of the family's 1533-position model. Lineage: Bacteria; Pseudomonadati; Pseudomonadota; Betaproteobacteria; Nitrosomonadales; Thiobacillaceae. The record is from RNAcentral.